GACGAACGCUGGCGGCGUGCUUAACACAUGCAAGUCGAACGGAAAGGCCCUGCUUGCAUGGUGCUCGAGGGGCGAACGGGCGAGUAACACGGGGGUGAUCUGCCCCCUACUUUUGGGUAAGGCUUGGCAACUGGGUCUUUUACCGGAUAGCACCAUGCUGCAGGUGGUGUGGUGGAAAGAUCUGCGUCGGUAGGGGGUGAGCUUGCGGCCGAUCAGCUUGUUGGUGGGGUAAUGGCCUACCAAGGCGUCGACGGGUAGCCGGCCUGAGAGGGUGGACGGCCACGUUGAGACUGCGACGCGGGCCAGACGCGUGCAGGAGGCAGCAGUGGGGAAUAGUGCGAAACAGGCGCAAGGCGGAUGCAGCGACGGCGCGGGGGGGAUGAAGCCCUUCGGGUUGUAAACACCUGCCAGCCGUGAAGAAGCCGUUGUGGUGACGGUAGUGAUAGAAGAAGCACCGGCUAACUACGUG
This 469-nucleotide ribosomal RNA is filed under the name uncultured bacterium. RNAcentral's name for it is "partial 16S ribosomal RNA". It matches the Rfam family "Bacterial small subunit ribosomal RNA", at positions 28 to 507 of the family's 1533-position model. The record is from RNAcentral.